This 553-nucleotide long non-coding RNA is filed under the name Sus scrofa (pig). Its description in RNAcentral is "lncRNA (ENSSSCG00005039210.1)". Lineage: Eukaryota; Metazoa; Chordata; Mammalia; Artiodactyla; Suidae. The record is from RNAcentral.
GGAAGCGUUGGGAAAUCGAAGGAGGCAUGCGAUGCAUGAGAAAGACUUUCACUUCUGUUCCCUCUUCCUGGCUCCCCGGACCAAACAUGCACCCCCUUUCCUGUGUUCUCCCUGCCGUCCGCCUGGCCUCACCCUGUCCGCGGUAGGUAAGACUCAAAACAGCCUCUGCCUGCGGCAGAAUUCGACCUCCUCUCGGUUGCAUAUCAGCCGUGCACGUGUUACUUGCAUUAGCAGACGGCAGGGGAGCAAAUGCGGCGGUGAAAUGCGGGCAGAUGUGAGCUCAUGUCUCUUCCAGGCCUUUUCUCUUCCAGAUGAGAAGACGGAAGCCCAGAAAGGCACACUGAUUCUCCAACAUCACACAGCUAAACAGCAGCUCUCUGAUCUCCUUGAGCCCACCAGGCAGCCCUCUGAUGCGUUAAAAGGACACAGCCUGGAGAAGGAUGCACCCCAAAUAACGAUCAGGGCAUGUGGAAAUUCCCAGUCCAAGCAACUCAAGCUGCUGCAGGGACAAUGCCAGAUCCUUAACCCUCUGCACCACAAGGGAACUCCUUAA